GUGGGGAAUAUUGGACAAUGGGGGGAACCCUGAUCCAGCCAUGCCGCGUGUGUGAAGAAGGCCUUUUGGUUGUAAAGCACUUUAAGCGAGGAGGAGGCUACCGAGAUUAAUACUCUUGGAUAGUGGACGUUACUCGCAGAAUAAGCACCGGCUAACUCUGUGCCAGCAGCCGCGGUAAUACAGAGGGUGCAAGCGUUAAUCGGAUUUACUGGGCGUAAAGCGCGCGUAGGUGGCCAAUUAAGUAAAAUGUGAAAUCCCCGGGCUUAACUUGGGAAUUGCAUUCGAUACUGGUUGGCUAGAGUAUGGGAGAGGAUGGUAGAAUUCCAGGUGUAGCGGUGAAAUGCGUAGAGAUCUGGAGGAAUACCGAUGGCGAAGGCAGCCAUCUGGCCUAAUACUGACACUGAGGUGCGAAAGCAUGGGAGCAAACAGGAUUAGAUACCCUUGUAGUCC
Molecule: ribosomal RNA, 450 nt
Filed under: uncultured bacterium
Lineage: Bacteria
Description: partial 16S ribosomal RNA
Rfam family: Bacterial small subunit ribosomal RNA
Source: RNAcentral